RNAcentral lists this ribosomal RNA (425 nucleotides) under uncultured Staphylococcus sp. RNAcentral describes it as "bacterial SSU rRNA". It matches the Rfam family "Bacterial small subunit ribosomal RNA", at positions 354 to 771 of the family's 1533-position model. The record is from RNAcentral. Lineage: Bacteria; Bacillati; Bacillota; Bacilli; Caryophanales; Staphylococcaceae.
GUAGGGAAUCUUCCGCAAUGGGCGAAAGCCUGACGGAGCAACGCCGCGUGAGUGAUGAAGGGUUUCGGCUCGUAAAACUCUGUUAUUAGGGAAGAACAAACGUGUAAGUAACUGUGCACGUCUUGACGGUACCUAAUCAGAAAGCCACGGCUAACUACGUGCCAGCAGCCGCGGUAAUACGUAGGUGGCAAGCGUUAUCCGGAAUUAUUGGGCGUAAAGCGCGCGUAGGCGGUUUCUUAAGUCUGAUGUGAAAGCCCACGGCUCAACCGUGGAGGGUCAUUGGAAACUGGGAAACUUGAGUGCAGAAGAGGAAAGUGGAAUUCCAUGUGUAGCGGUGAAAUGCGCAGAGAUAUGGAGGAACACCAGUGGCGAAGGCGACUUUCUGGUCUGUAACUGACGCUGAUGUGCGAAAGCGUGGGGAUCAA